ACCUGUGCCCCUAUGUCCUCAGGAUAACUAUAUCUUGGCACUUGAUUGUCUCCUGGGCAAGUUGUGUCCUACCCAUGGCUCGGUGCAUAUUCCCUGUGAAACUGAGGGAUCAUACUCAGUGCCGUUGGCAUCAAUCCAUUGUUGGCACAUUCACUGUGAGGAAUGUUGGCUUCGCACACUGGGGUCAAAGAAGCUGUGCCCACAGUGUAACACCAUCACGUCACCAGGUGACCUACGCAGGAUCUACCUGUAGAAGAUCCCACUGUAUUCUGAAGUGAGACAAGCCCUGGAUCCCAGGAGCAGUGAUCCCAGGAUCUCUUGGAUCUGAACAGUCCUCAGUGUGGGGCUUCCUGAAAUGAUUUUGAAGAAUUGAUUCUAAUUUUCAGUCAGAAUGUCAAAGGCUUCGUCCCAUGGUUUCUCUGAGUUCAAUAAACUGACAAAUCCAAGCCUGAGGGAGA
Molecule: long non-coding RNA, 458 nt
Organism: Rhincodon typus (whale shark)
Lineage: Eukaryota; Metazoa; Chordata; Chondrichthyes; Orectolobiformes; Rhincodontidae
Exons: 3
Source: RefSeq, a predicted model, not a curated record